GACGAACGCUGGCGGCGUGCUUAGCACAUGCAAGUCGAACGGAAAGGCCCUGCUUGCAGGGUACUCGAGUGGCGAACGGGUGAGUAACACGUGGGUGAUCUGCCCUUCACUUCGGGAUAAGCCUGGGAAACUGGGUCUAAUACCGGAUAGGAGCCAUUUUUAGUGUGAUGGUUGGAAAGUUUUUUCGGUGUAGGAUGAGCUCGCGGCCUAUCAGCUUGUUGGUGGGGUAAUGGCCUACCAAGGCGGCGACGGGUAGCCGGCCUGAGAGGGUGGACGGCCACAUUGGGAAGGAGAUACGGCCCAGACGCCUACGGGAGGCAGAAGUGGGGAAUAUUGCACAAUGGGCGCAAGCCUGAUGCAGAGACGCCGCGUGGGGGAUGACGGCCUUCGGGUUGUAAACUCCUUUCGCUAGGGACGAAGCUUUUUGUGACGGUACCUAGAUAAGAAGCACCGGCUAACUACGUG
This 465-nucleotide ribosomal RNA is filed under the name uncultured bacterium. Its description in RNAcentral is "partial 16S ribosomal RNA". It matches the Rfam family "Bacterial small subunit ribosomal RNA", at positions 28 to 507 of the family's 1533-position model. The record is from RNAcentral.